This 497-nucleotide ribosomal RNA is filed under the name uncultured bacterium. Its description in RNAcentral is "partial 16S ribosomal RNA". It matches the Rfam family "Bacterial small subunit ribosomal RNA", at positions 28 to 507 of the family's 1533-position model. The record is from RNAcentral.
GAUGAACGCUGGCGGCGUGCCUAAUACAUGCAAGUCGAGCGAACAGAUGAGGAGCUUGCUCCUCUGUCGUUAGCGGCGGACGGGUGAGUAACACGUGGAUAACCUACCUAUAAGACUGGGAUAACUUCGGGAAACCGGAGCUAAUACCGGAUAAUAUAUUGAACCGCAUGGUUCAAUAGUGAAUGACGGUUUUGCUGUCACUUAUAGAUGGAUCCGCGCCGCAUUAGCUAGUUGGUAAGGUAACGGCUUACCAAGGCAACGAUGCGUAGCCGACCUGAGAGGGUGAUCGGCCACACUGGAACUGAGACACGGUCCAGACUCCUACGGGAGGCAGCAGUAGGGAAUCUUCCGCAAUGGGCGAAAGCCUGACGGAGCAACGCCGCGUGAGUGAUGAAGGUCUUCGGAUCGUAAAACUCUGUUAUUAGGGAAGAACAAAUGUGUAAGUAACUAUGCACGUCUUGACGGUACCUAAUCAGAAAGCCACGGCUAACUACGUG